RNAcentral lists this ribosomal RNA (588 nucleotides) under Bacillus sp. 25W3. RNAcentral's name for it is "bacterial SSU rRNA". It matches the Rfam family "Bacterial small subunit ribosomal RNA", at positions 171 to 745 of the family's 1533-position model. The record is from RNAcentral. Lineage: Bacteria; Bacillati; Bacillota; Bacilli; Caryophanales; Bacillaceae.
AGGUAAUUUCUUUUUUCUCCUGAAGAAAGAAUGAAAGACGGAGCAAUCUGUCACUGAGGGAUGGGCCUGCGGCGCAUUAGCUAGUUGGUGGGGUAACGGCCCACCAAGGCGACGAUGCGUAGCCGACCUGAGAGGGUGAACGGCCACACUGGGACUGAGACACGGCCCAGACUCCUACGGGAGGCAGCAGUAGGGAAUCUUCCGCAAUGGACGAAAGUCUGACGGAGCAACGCCGCGUGAGUGAUGAAGGUUUUCGGAUCGUAAAGCUCUGUUGCCAGGGAAGAACGUCCGGUAGAGUAACUGCUAUCGGAGUGACGGUACCUGAGAAGAAAGCCCCGGCUAACUACGUGCCAGCAGCCGCGGUAAUACGUAGGGGGCAAGCGUUGUCCGGAAUUAUUGGGCGUAAAGCGCGCGCAGGCGGUCAUUUAAGUCUGGUGUUUAAACCUUGGGCUCAACCUGAGGUCGCACUGGAAACUGGGUGACUUGAGUACAGAAGAGGAAAGUGGAAUUCCACGUGUAGCGGUGAAAUGCGUAGAUAUGUGGAGGAACACCAGUGGCGAAGGCGACUUUUCUGGGCUGUAACUGACG